RNAcentral lists this small nucleolar RNA (62 nucleotides) under Dipodomys ordii (Ord's kangaroo rat). The record is from RNAcentral. Lineage: Eukaryota; Metazoa; Chordata; Mammalia; Rodentia; Heteromyidae.
UUUCUAUGACGAAUCACAUUAGCUCACUAUGACUUGUAAUGAAAAUACAUGGACUACUAAUA